Molecule: long non-coding RNA, 1247 nt
Organism: Xyrauchen texanus (razorback sucker)
Lineage: Eukaryota; Metazoa; Chordata; Actinopteri; Cypriniformes; Catostomidae
Exons: 3
Source: RefSeq, a predicted model, not a curated record
UGUAUCGAGUAAUCUCAAUUUCUACCAAAUAAAAAAAAUAAAUAAGUUUUUAUUUAAAUAAAAUUGCACAGUUCAAUUUUAUGCAUUUUGAUAUGCAAUUUUAACAUGAAUAUUUUUUUAAAGUGCAGAAAACACGACAAAAAUACUGAUUAAGAAAAUCAUUUUUGCUGUUCUGAUAUGAAUGCAUGUUCUGUCCUUUCAUUUCUCUCAUUGUUCCCAGUGAGACGUGGGCAUUAAAUGUCCCUCUAUAGAAAGCCAGUGUGGGCGCAACUCAUUCUGGUUUUCAUGCUCUUAUGUAAGGCUGUGCACUUUUCCUUGUUGCCUACACGCUACCUGUUACCUUUUUUGGAAGACUUGAGCGGAGAACAUGUUUGCACUAACACACAAAUGUCAAAACAACAGCACAAUAACAUGCAAAAUGACAAACACAAUUAGUGCUGUUUAUAUGCAUGUGAAUGCACAAAUGUUUGCUUUGUAAAAAAACACUAUUUUUGAUAUUUUGGGAAAUCAAAACUGCUCCAUUUUACUCCUUUGAACCAAGUGAAUGUCAUGUUUGCUUUGAUUGUUUUAGGAUUAUAAGUGAAAGAUCAUGAAGAAACAACAGCGUGUGAGAUCACGAAUAUUCAUUAGAGACGUCUGCUUCAGUCGGAUUCAUUUCUCUCGUUGCAUGUUUUGAAGCGUGUGCUAGAAACUUUGGAUUGUUAGAGAGCACCUCUUUUACGACUACAACGGUGAAUCUCAUGAAACCGGUCAAGAACACGUCCAAGUCAUAUUUCAAACCAGAAAAUGAAGCAUAUUUAGUAACACUUUCUAUGAAGCCCACAUUUAUAAUGCAUGAUACAACAUUCAUAAUAUCUCUUAUAAUAGGUUAUAACUACAGUUAUAACACAUUAUAAGACUUCCCCUAUUCAUAGUUAUAUUUGAGAGUAUAAUGCAUUAUAUAGGUAUUAUACUGCAUUCAUAAUGUCUCUUAUAACAGGUUAACUUCUCAUAAACAAUUAUAACUACAGUUAUAACACAUUAUAAGACUUCCCCUAUUCAUAGUUAUAUUUGAGAGUAUAAUGCAUUAUAUAGGUAUUAUACUGCAUUCAUAAUGUCUCUUAUAACAGGUUAACUUCUCAUAAACAAUUAUAACUACAGUUAUAACACAUUAUAAGACUUCCCCUAUUCAUAGUUAUAUUUGAGAGUAUAAUGCAUUAUAUAGGUAUUAUACUGCAUUCAUAAUGUCUCUUAUAACAGGUUAACUU